AAGUCGUAACAAGGUUUCCGUAGGUGAACCUGCGGAAGGAUCAUUAAUGAAUUAACAACUCAUUUAUUCACCUUGUGAAUUAGUAACGUUGGUCGCAAGACUGGCGUGACUGGAUGAAAGUUUUUCAUCUGGCAAACAAACAUUUAUUACUUAUUACAAUUCUUAAACCUUUAAUAACAAAAUAUUAAACAACCUUUAUCAAUGGAUCUCUUGGCUCCUGGAACGAUGA
RNAcentral lists this unclassified non-coding RNA (229 nucleotides) under fungal sp. RNAcentral describes it as "partial internal transcribed spacer region". The stretch from base 1 to 46 matches the Rfam family "Eukaryotic small subunit ribosomal RNA", at positions 1786 to 1831 of the family's 1831-position model. Lineage: Eukaryota; Fungi. The record is from RNAcentral.